This is a long non-coding RNA of Pleuronectes platessa (European plaice), 863 nucleotides long. RefSeq lists it as uncharacterized. NCBI's taxonomy places the organism in Eukaryota, Metazoa, Chordata, Actinopteri, Pleuronectiformes, Pleuronectidae. The transcript has 3 exons. The record is from RefSeq and is a predicted model, not a curated record.
GAAAAGUUACAUUGUUAAUUGGGGAGGGAUUGUUUACAACAAACACUGGAUUACAUUAAUGUCAUCUCUGUAUGUCAUCUCCCCAGGAUAAAAUAUGUCGCUGUUUAAACUUGACUAUGUCCCCAGGGGAAUGUGGCUUUCCUCAUCAUUACAUUAAAGGCCUGAGGUCCCUGCUCCCUGCUUAUGAUUCCUUGGAGGGCCUCGUCGAUGAACUGAUCCUUAAUCUGCAGGAGUUGAAUCAGAGAGCUCAGAUGAAAAUUACAGUGUGUUCGAGGCCUGUGAUGAGUAAACCCAUCCUAACAACAAAUGACCUCGCUGAGGCACUAGAAGAACUGAAGCAAAAAAUCAACUCAAGGAAUAAUACCACUGGUUAAAAUCGUCAGAGGCAGUAACCUUCUGCUGGUAAUACUUGUACACUGUAUGGCAGCAGUAUGUAUUUGUGAUUUUAAUUUGUUGAUGUUGACAUUGAUGAAAAUUUGCCAAUGUAUUAUUUUUGACUUAUUUAUUUUUAUUUAUUAUCAGUUUUUGAUUAUGUCAAGGAAAUAUGCUCAUAAAACCUAUCCAAUUGAUGUUAUUGCCCUCAAAAUGGGAUGAAUGUUGAAAAACACUUUAUAUAUUUGAAGUUUAAAAAUGUACAGUGUUUAUUUGAAUAAACAACAAUAAUUAUAAUGCAUAAAGACUGAGCUAUGUUGCACAAGGAUUUACCUGUGUUGUAAAAGUGCAACUAAACUUACAUAUAUCCUCCUAAUCAAGCUUUUUUUUCUUAGUGCUCUGUUACUCACAAAAUCUGAUUAUCAUUGUCAAGAAUCCAGUAUGUCCAAGACUUUUGCCAAGUUGGUAUGAUUAUUUCCUACCAUAAAUAU